GAUGGAUACACAACUCAGCUCUCAGCAAAGAUCCUUCCCAGCAAGAUGAAGUCCACCACUUUCUUCAUCAUUUCUCUGCUUCUCAUUCUGCAGGAGCAAAUAGCAGUUGGAAUUGGAUAUCAUGGCAGUCCUCCAGGCCAGUUGUCAAAUGAAAUACCUGCAUUUUCAAAAAGACCCAGAGGUUCGCGGGGUUUUGGACAUCAUCGCAGUGUGCAUGUUACAGAAGAUAGUUCUCUAAGCCAACCUGAACCAAAAGUUGGUGACAGUGAUUCUGAUACAAAAUACACACUUAAAGAAAAAGAAACCAUUAUCUCCGAGGAACACAGAUCUGAAAACAAACCUGACAGCUUUUCUUCCAGUGACAGUCACGAGAAUAAGGUAGAAAGUCGUGUACACAGACAUUUCCAUGAAAGACGCCAUAAAACUGAAAAGGAAGAUCAAGGCGGCUAUGAAUUUUCCAAGAAAAGGACCAUCCAGUUUCAACAUGAACACAAUGAAUAAUACGCCCACUGACCAACUGAAUACCUGGACUGAUACCAAGGAGUCACCUAACCUGAGUGAAGACUGUGAUGUGUUCCAGAUGAAGACUUCCACGUGGUCCCACAGCCUCGGUCCAUGGAUGACACCUUGUGCUCACACCUGCUUGUCUUGGGGUUUCUAAACCUGGAGAUUCUUCAAACACCUGCUUUCAAAUAAAAAGAUCACUUUCUGCAUCA
Long non-coding RNA from Dipodomys spectabilis (banner-tailed kangaroo rat), 716 nucleotides. RefSeq lists it as uncharacterized. The transcript has 3 exons. Lineage: Eukaryota; Metazoa; Chordata; Mammalia; Rodentia; Heteromyidae. The record is from RefSeq and is a predicted model, not a curated record.